This 1333-nucleotide ribosomal RNA is filed under the name Enterococcus casseliflavus. Its description in RNAcentral is "bacterial SSU rRNA". It matches the Rfam family "Bacterial small subunit ribosomal RNA", at positions 51 to 1338 of the family's 1533-position model. The record is from RNAcentral. Lineage: Bacteria; Bacillati; Bacillota; Bacilli; Lactobacillales; Enterococcaceae.
AUACUGGCAAGUCGAACGCUUUUUCUUUCACCGGAGCUUGCUCCACCGAAAGAAAAAGAGUGGCGAACGGGUGAGUAACACGUGGGUAACCUGCCCAUCAGAAGGGGAUAACACUUGGAAACAGGUGCUAAUACCGUAUAACACUAUUUUCCGCAUGGAAGAAAGUUGAAAGGCGCUUUUGCGUCACUGAUGGAUGGACCCGCGGUGCAUUAGCUAGUUGGUGAGGUAACGGCUCACCAAGGCAACGAUGCAUAGCCGACCUGAGAGGGUGAUCGGCCACACUGGGACUGAGACACGGCCCAGACUCCUACGGGAGGCAGCAGUAGGGAAUCUUCGGCAAUGGACGAAAGUCUGACCGAGCAACGCCGCGUGAGUGAAGAAGGUUUUCGGAUCGUAAAACUCUGUUGUUAGAGAAGAACAAGGAUGAGAGUAAAAUGUUCAUCCCUUGACGGUAUCUAACCAGAAAGCCACGGCUAACUACGUGCCAGCAGCCGCGGUAAUACGUAGGUGGCAAGCGUUGUCCGGAUUUAUUGGGCGUAAAGCGAGCGCAGGCGGUUUCUUAAGUCUGAUGUGAAAGCCCCCGGCUCAACCGGGGAGGGUCAUUGGAAACUGGGAGACUUGAGUGCAGAAGAGGAGAGUGGAAUUCCAUGUGUAGCGGUGAAAUGCGUAGAUAUAUGGAGGAACACCAGUGGCGAAGGCGGCUCUCUGGUCUGUAACUGACGCUGAGGCUCGAAAGCGUGGGGAGCGAACAGGAUUAGAUACCCUGGUAGUCCACGCCGUAGACGAUGAGUGCUAAGUGUUGGAGGGUUUCCGCCCUUCAGUGCUGCAGCAAACGCAUUAAGCACUCCGCCUGGGGAGUACGACCGCAAGGUUGAAACUCAAAGGAAUUGACGGGGGCCCGCACAAGCGGUGGAGCAUGUGGUUUAAUUCNAAGCAACGCGAAGAACCUUACCAGGUCUUGACAUCCUUUGACCACUCUAGAGAUAGAGCUUCCCCUUCGGGGGCAAAGUGACAGGUGGUGCAUGGUUGUCGUCAGCUCGUGUCGUGAGAUGUUGGGUUAAGUCCCGCAACGAGCGCAACCCUUAUUGUUAGUUGCCAUCAUUUAAUUGGGCACUCUAGCGAGACUGCCGGUAAAAACCGGAGGAAGGUGGGGAUGACGUCAAUCAUCAGCCCCUUAGACCGGGGCUACCACGUGCUAAAUGGGAAAUCAACAAAUUUCAGAAUCCCGAGGCUAGGCUAUCCCUUAAACUUUCCCCCUUUCAAUUUNNNUCNNCCCCCCCCAAAAAACCGAAAACCUUAAAUCGGAAAACCCCCCCGUNNAAAUUUCCGCCCU